GCUAGGUUCCACACUGCUAUCGGGUGAAACAUGAACUAGCCAAACGUCUGAAAACUGCAUUUACUGCGAAAUAAACUCAAUUAUCGCAAGCUUCAACAACUUGUUUGAAUGGAGAAAUCGUGUCUGUGGGAGGUUGCCUUCAAUAUAAUGAACGCCAUCAUCGGCCAUGCAGUUCAACUGCCAUACAGCCUGCAUGGGAAGAAAAGCAAGAGACUGCUUAACAUGCGGCUAUGCAGAGUGGGAACAGAUAGUGCCUGAGAGGCACAGAGAUCGACAUCAAUCAAGCGCAAGACUUCAUAAGAAUGUGGCUGCCAGGCGCCGUCGACUAUAUUCUAAUAGCAGAAGGCGGCGUUACGCCGAAGCGGCUCAACCCGUUCAGCAUCUUCCAAGUGCCCCUUUUGCGAGCCCAGCCUCAACCCCCCGUAGCUUCAUAAACAAAGCUUUCGUAGGUAGCCCACAGGAUUGGGGAUACGAGCAACAAUCUGUAU
Molecule: long non-coding RNA, 488 nt
Organism: Dermacentor silvarum
Lineage: Eukaryota; Metazoa; Arthropoda; Arachnida; Ixodida; Ixodidae
Exons: 3
Source: RefSeq, a predicted model, not a curated record